RNAcentral lists this small RNA (89 nucleotides) under Sinorhizobium meliloti 2011. RNAcentral describes it as "putative ncRNA". The record is from RNAcentral. Lineage: Bacteria; Pseudomonadati; Pseudomonadota; Alphaproteobacteria; Hyphomicrobiales; Rhizobiaceae.
AGGCGUUCAGGAGAUGAUCCGGCGUCCAGACGUCGUCGGAAUCGAGGAAAGCGACGAAGUCGCUGUCGGCAGGAACAUUAUCGAGACCG